This 617-nucleotide ribosomal RNA is filed under the name uncultured bacterium. RNAcentral's name for it is "bacterial SSU rRNA". The stretch from base 1 to 517 matches the Rfam family "Bacterial small subunit ribosomal RNA", at positions 338 to 873 of the family's 1533-position model. The record is from RNAcentral.
CCUACGGGAGGCAGCAGUGGGGAAUCUUGCACAAUGGAGGAAACUCUGAUGCAGCGAUGCCGCGUGAGUGAAGAAGGCCUUUGGGUUGUAAAGCUCUUUUGUAGGGGAAGAUAAUGACUGUACCCUAAGAAUAAGGUCCGGCUAACUUCGUGCCAGCAGCCGCGGUAAUACGAAGGGACCUAGCGUAGUUCGGAAUUACUGGGCGUAAAGCGCGCGUAGGCCGUUGAGUUAGUUAAUUGUGAAAUCCCAAAGCUUAACUUUGGAACUGCAAUUAAAACUGCUCGACUAGAGUUUGAUAGAGGAAAGCGGAAUACAUAGUGUAGAGGUGAAAUUCGUAGAUAUUAUGUAGAACACCAGUUGCGAAGGCGGCUUUCUGGAUCAACACUGACGCUGAGGCGCGAAAGUAUGGGUAGCAAAGAGGAUUAGAUACCCUCGUAGUCCAUACCAUAAACGAUGAUUGCUAGAUGUUGGAAAUUUAUUUUCAGUAUCGCAGCUACGCAUAAGUACAACUACCGCCGUCGGGUAGGUACGACCGACGAACGGUUAAAACGUUAAAACGGUAAAGUUAGUACGGUCGUGAGACGUUGUCCGAACGGACGACGACGAGGGGAGGUAGG